AUUGAACGCUGGCGGCAUGCCUUACACAUGCAAGUCGAACGGCAGCGGGGGAGAAGCUUGCUUUUCCUGCCGGCGAGUGGCGAACGGGUGAGUAAUACAUCGGAACGUGCCUUGUAGUGGGGGAUAACUAGUCGAAAGAUUAGCUAAUACCGCAUACGACCUGAGGGUGAAAGUGGGGGACCGCAAGGCCUCAUGCUAUAGGAGCGGCCGAUGUCUGAUUAGCUAGUUGGUGGGGUAAAGGCCGACAAAGGCGACGAUAAGUAGCUGGUCUGAGAGGACCAUCAGGCAAACCGGGACGGAGACACGGCCCAGACACCUACGGGAGGCAGCAGUGGGGAAUUUUGGACAAUGGGCGAAAGCCUGAUCCAGCAAUGCCGCGUGUGGGAAGAAGGCCUUCGGGUUGUAAAGCACUUUUGUCCGGAAAGAAAUGGCUCUGGUUAAUACCUGGGGUCGAUGACGGUACCGGAAGAAUAAGGACCGGCUAACUACGUGCCAGCCGCCGCGGUAA
RNAcentral lists this ribosomal RNA (508 nucleotides) under uncultured bacterium. Its description in RNAcentral is "partial 16S ribosomal RNA". It matches the Rfam family "Bacterial small subunit ribosomal RNA", at positions 29 to 523 of the family's 1533-position model. The record is from RNAcentral.